CAAGUGGAGCUCAGGUCUGAGAAUGAUAGAAGAAAAUAACAGAAAAGACCCUGGGUUCGUGGUGACUUUAUGGAACUGUUAUGUUAGCUCUGGACUUCUUUUACGACAUUUCUUUGACUUUUAAGAUGCACCAUUUAUUUAUAUAUUAUUAAGUGAUGGAGCCCGCCAUCACUUGUUGAACAGUACCUGAAUGGGGGAGUGAGAAUGAAGAAAAAUAAAGACAAAGAGAUAGAGUCAGGAGGGCUCCCAGAGACCAAGCGCCCAAGUUUAUUUUUCUCCUCUCUUUUCUACAACAGGUCCCUGUUCGGGCGCCACCCGUGACGGAGCCCGCCCGUCACUUGUCGAACAGUACCUGAAUGGGAGAGUGAGGAUGAAGAAAAAUAAAGACAAAGAGAUAGAGUCAGGAGGGCUCCCAGAGACCGAGUGCCCAAGUUUUUCUCCUCUCUUUUCUACAACAGAAACUCCUUGAAGUUUCUGAAUCCACCAUCAACAUUCUUUUAAGAAUCAACUUUUUUGAAGUUGAACCCAACCAAAAUAGCAUAUACUCAAAUAUAUGUUUUUGAUGAGUUUUGACAAAAGCACACACCCAUUUGACCUCCACCAUGAUCAAGAUUCAAGAUACUUUCUUCACCUCUCAUGCU
This 641-nucleotide long non-coding RNA is filed under the name Heterocephalus glaber (naked mole-rat). RNAcentral describes it as "lncRNA (ENSHGLG00100045174.1)". Lineage: Eukaryota; Metazoa; Chordata; Mammalia; Rodentia; Bathyergidae. The record is from RNAcentral.